Molecule: ribosomal RNA, 1506 nt
Filed under: metagenome
Description: bacterial SSU rRNA
Rfam family: Bacterial small subunit ribosomal RNA
Source: RNAcentral
AGAGUUUGAUCCUGGCUCAGGACGAACGCUGGCGGCGUGCCUAAUACAUGCAAGUAGAACGCUGAAGAGAGGAGCUUGCUCUUCUUGGAUGAGUUGCGAACGGGUGAGUAACGCGUAGGUAACCUGCCUUGUAGCGGGGGAUAACUAUUGGAAACGAUAGCUAAUACCGCAUAACAAUGGAUGACACAUGUCAUUUAUUUGAAAGGGGCAAUUGCUCCACUACAAGAUGGACCUGCGUUGUAUUAGCUAGUAGGUGAGGUAAUGGCUCACCUAGGCGACGAUACAUAGCCGACCUGAGAGGGUGAUCGGCCACACUGGGACUGAGACACGGCCCAGACUCCUACGGGAGGCAGCAGUAGGGAAUCUUCGGCAAUGGGGGCAACCCUGACCGAGCAACGCCGCGUGAGUGAAGAAGGUUUUCGGAUCGUAAAGCUCUGUUGUAAGUCAAGAACGGGUGUGAGAGUGGAAAGUUCACACUGUGACGGUAGCUUACCAGAAAGGGACGGCUAACUACGUGCCAGCAGCCGCGGUAAUACGUAGGUCCCGAGCGUUGUCCGGAUCUAUUGGGCGUAAAGCGAGCGCAGGCGGUUUGAUAAGUCUGAAGUUAAAGGCUGUGGCUCAACCAUAGUUCGCUUUGGAAACUGUCAAACUUGAGUGCAGAAGGGGAGAGUGGAAUUCCAUGUGUAGCGGUGAAAUGCGUAGAUAUAUGGAGGAACACCGGUGGCGAAAGCGGCUCUCUGGUCUGUAACUGACGCUGAGGCUCGAAAGCGUGGGGAGCGAACAGGAUUAGAUACCCUGGUAGUCCACGCCGUAAACGAUGAGUGCUAGGUGUUGGAUCCUUUCCGGGAUUCAGUGCCGCAGCUAACGCAUUAAGCACUCCGCCUGGGGAGUACGACCGCAAGGUUGAAACUCAAAGGAAUUGACGGGGGCCCGCACAAGCGGUGGAGCAUGUGGUUUAAUUCGAAGCAACGCGAAGAACCUUACCAGGUCUUGACAUCCCGAUGCUAUUUCUAGAGAUAGAAAGUUACUUCGGUACAUCGGUGACAGGUGGUGCAUGGUUGUCGUCAGCUCGUGUCGUGAGAUGUUGGGUUAAGUCCCGCAACGAGCGCAACCCCUAUUGUUAGUUGCCAUCAUUCAGUUGUGCACUCUAGCGAGACUGCCGGUAAUAAACCGGAGGAAGGUGGGGAUGACGUCAAAUCAUCAUGCCCCUUAUGACCUGGGCUACACACGUGCUACAAUGGUUGGUACAACGAGUUGCGAGUCGGUGACGGCGAGCUAAUCUCUUAAAGCCAAUCUCAGUUCGGAUUGAAGGCUGCAACUCGCCUACAUGAAGUCGGAAUCGCUAGUGAUCGCGGAUCAGCACGCCGCGGUGAAUACGUUCCCGGGCCUUGUACACACCGCCCGUCACACCACGAGAGUUUGUAACACCCGAAGUCGGUGAGGUAACCUUUUGGAGCCAGCCGCCUAAGGUGGGACAGAUGAUUGGGGUGAAGUCGUAACAAGGUA